This is a long non-coding RNA of Cynara cardunculus var. scolymus (artichoke), 328 nucleotides long. RefSeq lists it as uncharacterized. The record is from RefSeq and is a predicted model, not a curated record. NCBI's taxonomy places the organism in Eukaryota, Viridiplantae, Streptophyta, Magnoliopsida, Asterales, Asteraceae. The transcript has 3 exons.
ACAAUAAUUUACAUUGGUAGGUUGCAGCUGCCGUGUAUGACAGACAACAGGUAGCUGAUCAUGCGCAAAAUCUUGCCACCAAAAUCCGAAAUAAUUUAACCAACUCUAUGAAAUCUCUUGGUGUGGACAUAUUGACAGGUUUUGGUAUUGUUGUGGGUCCACAGAAGGUGAAAUAUGGAAAAGUUGGGGGGAGUGAGACACUUAUUACUACAAAAGACAUAAUCAUAGGUACUGGAUCAGUACCAUUUGUCCCCAAGGGAGUUGAAGUUGAUGGUGAUUUUUGUAGAAGCAUUAGAUCAGUUGAUGCCUGGUUCGACCCUGAAAAUGG